CCCCAAGGUGUAUUGUGUUCCUGGGCCAGGAAUCAGAUCUGAGCUGCAAUUGCAGCUCAUGCCACAGCUGCAGCAAUGCCAGAUCCUUAACCCACUUUGCUGGGCUGGGGAUCGAAGCUUUGUCCCAGCAUUCCAGAGACAGUGCUGAUCUGAUUGCAUCACAGCAGGAUCUCCUAAUUCUGUGAUAAUUUAUAAAAGUAAACAAUGAUCAAAUGAGUUAAAUAUCUGUCAAAGAAUAAAUUAGGAUAUCAUUGUUCCUUCAUAUCACUUAUUCUAUAAGAUUUAACUGACGUCUUUGGCAGUUUAUGCUUCUUGAUAAACAUUUAUUUAAGUCAACUAGUUUUCAUUCAUGCCAUUGGAUAUACCUCAUUUUAAAAACUAUUUUUAUUAAGAACAUGGAACUGUGUGCCCUGUAAGUGGCUAUAUUUUGAAAAAUAAUUGAAAAACUAAAAUUUAUCCACUGUCAAUAGUUUUAUUAUAGUUAACUGGGUAAAGUUGAUUAAAUUGUGGUUCCAUUUUUACAUUAAGGGAAAUCUCAGUUCUGAAAGUAGAGAGAUAUAAAUGUGUUUGUGUUCUCACACCUAUGGAGGAAAUGUGAAUAUUUUUAUGGUUGUUAGUAGCUAGUAUCUGGUACUUACAUGCCAAACACAAUACUGAAAGCUCUGUGUCCAUUAUCUCAUAUUAUUUCUGUCUCUGUGAAGGAGGUACUAUUAUAUUCCUGUUUUUCAGCUAAGGAAACCAAGGCUAUAGAAAGUUAAAUAAUAGGAGUUCCCGUCGUGGCGCAGUGGUUAACGAAUCCAACUAGGAACCAUGAGGUUGCGGGUUCGGUCCCUGCCCUUGCUCAGUGGGUUAACGAUCCAGCGUUGCCGUGAGCUGUGGUGUAGGUUGCAGACGCGGCUCGGAUCCCGCGUUGCUGUGGCUCUGGCGAAGGCCGGUGGCUACAGCUCCGAGUGGACCCCUAGCCUGGGAACCUCCAUAUGCCGCAGGAGCGGCCCAAGAAAUAGCAAAGAGACAAAAAAAAAAAAAAAAAAAAAAAAGUUAAAUAAUAGUGAUACAAAGAGGAAAAUUAUAAACAUUUUUAAACUUUUUCUCUUCCAAUCAGCCAGGUUCCAAAGUUUCCUUAUUCAUUGUGCAGACAUUUGACAGCCAUCUUUAUUCUAGGACUGAGUCCACCCCUUACAUCAUCAUCAUCACUUCCUGCUUUCAUGUGAAGUAUCUUUUUUCCCCUUCUUUUUUUAUAGCUCUAUUGAAGUGUAAUUUCCAUACCAAAACAGUCACCUGUUAUAACUCUACAAGUCAGUACUUUUUAGUAGAUUUCAGGAGUUGUGCAACCAUCACACAGUUCAGUUUAGAAUGAUUCCAUCACCCAUAAAAGUAACCUCACGCUCAUUUGUAGCCAUUCCCUCCCUGCUCCAGUCCCUAGCUCUAGACAACCACUGUUGUGCUUUCUCUUUGUAUAUAUUUACCAUUUCUGGGUAUUUCAUGUAAAUGGGAUCAUGCAGUAUGUCAUCUUGUGCAGCUGGCUUCUUAGCGUGCUGUUGAGAUUUACCCAGGUUGUAGCAUAUAUGAGUAGUUGGCUCUCUUAAUUGCUGGGUAACAUUUCAUUGUAUGGAUAGACCACUUUUUGUUUCUCUUUCCCCAAGUUGAUAAUGACUUGAACUGUUUUUAGUAUUUGCCUGGGAUGAAUAAUGCUGCAGUGAGAUUCAUGUACAAGCCUUUGUGAAGACGUAUGUUUUCCUUUUCCUCAAGUAGAUAUCUGGAAGAGAAGUCGCUGCAACAGUGAUAUGGAUUAACUUCUUUUCUAGUGCUAUGGUGGAAAUAACUGAGUCUCUGAAACAAAACAAACAGGUUUGAAUACAUGAUUUUUGAGGAAGUCAUUUAAUCUUCCAAGGCUCAGAUUUUUACCUGUAAGACUGGAUGAACAAUGGAAAAAUCAUACGGUUAUGAAGAUGUAUUUAUCAUUAUUAAAUUAACCCAAAGUGAUAUCAGUGACAUUGGACACCCUUCUUACUUGAGAAAGAGAAAUCUCUCUGGACAUUUUUAUAAGUGAAUUCAUCUUCAUCGCACCUGUCAUCUGCUCCCGCUUAAGCCAGAAAUGAAGGGCACAUAUCAAGACCGCGUCUCAGCAUCUCUCUUUUCCAGAGCAACAGUGCCCUGUCCCUGAUGACCCCGUCUGCCGCAGCUGAUCGCACACUGACCUUGGCUAGUCUCAAAUCCAUUCAGCAGGACCUGCGUGCAUUCUUGUAGACAGAAGCUGGAGGAACAGAUGGAGGACUUGGCCAUGGAACAUGCUUAUUAUCACGGAGAAUGUUCCUCCUCUUCCCGACUUGGUGCCCCAAGCAUGGGGGUGGGUUGAGGCGAGCAGAAGAUCCUAGUGACUCACAAGCUUCCAGGGAAGGAAUCCACAGAUGGCAACCACUGAGGUCACAUUUUCCCCCCACCACCGCUUGAGCACUACGUUCUUGACAUAGGUGCAGGGCUGCUGUGUUGCUAAGCACCAGGCAAGGAAGGCGUUGCAGAUUUCAGAUUUCUGGUGAUGACACAUGCCUAAGUGGCACCAGACAGGCACACCGAGUGCUUUGGUGACAUGACAGAUGGUGAGGAGAGGCGUGACAGAGCGAUCCAUGUGUCUGCAUCUGUGGAAACUUUCCACUGCUCACGGGUCAGGCCACUGAUUAGAUGGCACAUCCUAUUAUUUAUAUAUUAUCUACAAAUGGACAUCCUAUGGUUACUCAUGGUGGGUAAUAAUCACCCACUCUGAAGCUCAGGAGGUAUGGCCCAGCUGAGGCUGUGGCUGGCAUCCAAGAGGAGAAGAGAGCAGCUCUGGGUGGGCCCAGUGGGUGGCCAAGCCCAGGCCUGGCUGUCAGAGUGGAGUAUGAUUCUGGGGUGUGCAAGUCAGAGCCACUGAGAUUAGCCUCAGACAAACCAUCCCGAGGUCUCAUCUGUUUUCCACAGUUGCUUCUCUACUCAGCACCGUGUCUGCAUCUCAUGACAACCAUCAUUUCAUCCAUCUGCCCCUUUCCUAUCAAGAAAAUAGAUUGGAUGUGUGUGCACAGAGGCAAAGUCAGAGUUCUGAAAUGCACCUCAGCAACUGUACCAGAUUUGAUGAAUUUAGCAGCUCUAAGCCAGAAACAAAAGCAAAAAAAAAGCAAACACUACUUUUUUACCUUAAUAAUACUCUUUUAAAUAGAAGGGCUUCAGAAGUUACUAAAUUCACCACAUCCCUGUCAGAAACCUAAUGCAUGCUGCCCAGCUGUAGAAAAUUAAGAAAAUGAUGACACCGGUAUAAGCCAUUCUUAGCAAAGACCUUCCUGUGCUACUACUACGGCUACUCUUUUUAACCUAGAGUUCAGUCUACAGGAGCCUAAGGAAAGCUCUUGGUUACCAUCAGGAUCAUCAAAUGACACCAUUAAAAACUAUUUUGUUCUUAUCUAGCCCAACUCUUCCAUUUCUCAGCGUGGAAACAGAGAGGGAGGGAAUAUGUGCUCUUGGACAGCUCAAGACUGGUGUUGGCUCCACGUUGGGUUUGGGUGAACUUGAUGUUGGGUUUUGGGCAGGGCCAAUCACACUGCUGGCUCCAGGAGGCCCGAAGCAUGGAUGGGGAGUAAGAAAACUAGGAUGGAAAAUAAGGGGAGGAAAGACAAAAGUGGAAGAGGAAAA
This is a non-coding RNA of Sus scrofa (pig), 3660 nucleotides long. The record is from RefSeq and is a predicted model, not a curated record. Lineage: Eukaryota; Metazoa; Chordata; Mammalia; Artiodactyla; Suidae.